AUGUGGCCCCUAUUUAGUUUUCUGAUUUUUUUUUUCCUAGAUUUGGCUGGGACAAAAGCGAAAGUGCUGACAUAUCCUGUGAGUCUCUUCUUGCAAGACUUACCAGAGGUCUCAGGGAAGCCUGAUUCUUUUCCUCAUCCCAGCCAAGUUCUGUGGUCAGAGGAACCGUGGAUUGCUUCACUAGCAUGUAAAGUACUCCAAGAGAGUUUGUUGAGCCAUCACAAAAGCAAGUCUUAGUUCUGAUCCGUAAUUCACUGAACCCUGCUACGAUGUAAGAGGAGGGAGAAACAAGGAAGCUGUCAAGACGAAUGGUGCAAGAGUCUCUGGUUCCAUGGCUACAGCAAGAUCUUGGUGCUUUUAACUCUUUGGUCAUAACAGUACUCAAGUGAAUGUAAGGGCAUCCUUCAGAUCUGAAGGGAAAGGAGUCCCUUGUGUCUCAUAACAAAUAAAUUUGACUUCAAAGGCA
Molecule: long non-coding RNA, 466 nt
Filed under: Phasianus colchicus (ring-necked pheasant)
Lineage: Eukaryota; Metazoa; Chordata; Aves; Galliformes; Phasianidae
Description: lncRNA (ENSPCLG00000017845.1)
Source: RNAcentral